Molecule: transfer RNA, 66 nt
Filed under: Marmota monax (woodchuck)
Lineage: Eukaryota; Metazoa; Chordata; Mammalia; Rodentia; Sciuridae
Description: tRNA.Leu
Source: RNAcentral
GGUUUUGGCUCAGUGGUAGAGCGCUUGCCAAAGAUGCGUGAGGCAUAGGGUUCGAUCCCAGUACCA